Molecule: ribosomal RNA, 253 nt
Filed under: uncultured bacterium
Lineage: Bacteria
Description: partial 16S ribosomal RNA
Rfam family: Bacterial small subunit ribosomal RNA
Source: RNAcentral
UACGUAGGGUGCAAGCGUUGUCCGGAAUUAUUGGGCGUAAAGAGCUCGUAGGCGGUUUGUCGCGUCGAAUGUGAAAACCCGGGGCUUAACCCCGGGCCUGCAGUGGGUACGGGCAGACUAGAGUGCGGUAGGGGAGAUUGGAAUUCCUGGUGUAGCGGUGAAAUGCGCAGAUAUCAGGAGGAACACCGGUGGCGAAGGCGGGUCUCUGGGCCGAUACUGACGCUGAGGAGCGAAAGCGUGGGGAGCGAACAGG